AAGGGUAUAGCUCAGUGGCAGAGUGUGUGCCUGGCAUGCACAAGGUCCUAGAUUCAAUCUCCAGUACCUUCA
This 72-nucleotide transfer RNA is filed under the name Camelus bactrianus (Bactrian camel). It matches the Rfam family "tRNA". From Rfam's summary of the family: Transfer RNA (tRNA) molecules are approximately 80 nucleotides in length. Their secondary structure includes four short double-helical elements and three loops (D, anti-codon, and T loops). RNAcentral also lists the same sequence under 2 other names. The record is from Rfam by way of RNAcentral. Lineage: Eukaryota; Metazoa; Chordata; Mammalia; Artiodactyla; Camelidae.